Molecule: long non-coding RNA, 1212 nt
Filed under: Zonotrichia albicollis (white-throated sparrow)
Lineage: Eukaryota; Metazoa; Chordata; Aves; Passeriformes; Passerellidae
Description: lncRNA (ENSZALG00000005942.1)
Source: RNAcentral
AUGGGGCAGAUCCAGAGCUGGGAAUGCCAAUGGCUCCAUCCCUCUGGAGCUGGGAUACAUCCCACAACAACAGCUUUAUCCAAGGGCUCCAUCCCUCUGGAGCUGGGGCUCAUCCCCCUAGAACAGCUUUAUCCCAGGGUCUCCAUCCUUCUGGAGCUGGGAUACAUCCCGCACCAAUGGCUUUAUCCAAAGGGAUCCAUCCUUCUGGAGCUGGGAUUCAUCCCACACCAACAGCUUUAUCCCAGAGGAUCCAUCCCUCUGGCGCUGGGAUACAUCCCACAACAACAGCUUUAUCCAAGGGCUCCAUCCCUCUGGAGCUGGGAUACAUCCCACACUGAUGGCUUUAUCCCAGAGAUCCAUCCUUCUGAUCUGGGGGUCAGUGCUGAGCCCCUCUGGGCACCAGCAGUGGGGGCAAGGCCGUGGGUCAAUGCCUGGCCAGAGCCAGGAGGGAAAACCCCAGCCAUUAAUUAAUGAUAUUAAUGACCAAUCACCCACUCAGCCCUGCCAUUGAUAAAUCCACGAGUUCAGCGGUGCUGGAGCUGAUCCCACAGCUCCUGCCAGGCCUCAUCCAUGAUUCCCAUCAGGUCUCAUCCCAGCUGAGCCCCCACCCUGCCCCACUCCCCAUCCCUCUCUCCUGAAACAGAAACAUUUUUCCAGGCGCUGCCUCCAUCCAUUAUCACAAAGUGGCUUCACUUGGCCUGCAGUUAAUAAUUCACCUUUCCCUGGAAGAUGGAUGCUCCAUCCUGCUGGAGUUUUAAAUAUUCAUGGCCAAGGGAAGGCAGCAGGGCCGUGUGGGAGCUCUGCCAUCCACCCCUGGUGCUCCCAUCCAGGGAUUCCCAUCCCAUCACCUGCAGAUGUGCAGAUGUGGAAGGUCUGGAGAAGGGGAUGUGCAGGGAAACCUUGGCUGGAUGGGAUUUUGGGUGUCCUCAGGGAUGGGUGGGGCUGUACCCAAGGGACCCCUCGCCCCUGGCUGGGCAGGCUGGUGGCACUCAGAGCCCUCUGCCCAUCCAGGUGUCUCCAGGAUGUUGGGAGUGUCUGGGUCCUGCAGGGAGCUGAGGCAGGGCUGGAUGUUCACCCCAGGGUUCCUCAUCCCUUCCUGCUGCUCCUACGGGUGGGGAAAAAUCUUGGAAUAUACCGAGAUUAAAGGAACUCGCAAAGAUCAUCCAGUCCAACCCCUGGUCCUGCACAGACACCCCAAAAUCCCAUCCCUGG